GGAAUCUUCCACAAUGGACGAAAGUCUGAUGGAGCAACGCCGCGUGAGUGAUGAAGGUUUUCGGAUCGUAAAACUCUGUUGUAAGGGAAGAACAAGUACGAGAGGGAAUGCUCGUACCUUGACGGUACCUUGCGAGAAAGCCACGGCUAACUACGUGCCAGCAGCCGCGGUAAUACGUAGGUGGCAAGCGUUGUCCGGAAUUAUUGGGCGUAAAGCGCGCGCAGGCGGCCUUUUAAGUCUGAUGUGAAAGCCCCCGGCUCAACCGGGGAGGGUCAUUGGAAACUGGAAGGCUUGAGUACAGAAGAGAAGAGUGGAAUUCCAUGUGUAGCGGUGAAAUGCGUAGAGAUGUGGAGGAACACCAGUGGCGAAGGCGACUCUUUGGUCUGUAACUGACGCUGAGGCGCGAAAGCGUGGGGAGCAAACAGGAUUAGAUACCCCUG
RNAcentral lists this ribosomal RNA (440 nucleotides) under uncultured Exiguobacterium sp. RNAcentral describes it as "bacterial SSU rRNA". It matches the Rfam family "Bacterial small subunit ribosomal RNA", at positions 358 to 789 of the family's 1533-position model. The record is from RNAcentral. Lineage: Bacteria; Bacillati; Bacillota; Bacilli; Caryophanales.